RNAcentral lists this ribosomal RNA (641 nucleotides) under uncultured bacterium. Its description in RNAcentral is "bacterial SSU rRNA". It matches the Rfam family "Bacterial small subunit ribosomal RNA", at positions 44 to 715 of the family's 1533-position model. The record is from RNAcentral.
AUGCUUAACACAUGCAAGUCGAACGUGCCUUCGGGCAAGUGGCAGACGGCUGAGUAACGCGUGAGUAACACACCCUUCGGUGGGGUAUAGCCUCGGGAAACUGAGGGUAAUCCCGCAUACGAUCCCUAUGCUCUGGUGUAGGGAUGAAAGCCUUCGGGCGCCGGAGGAGUGGCUCGCGUCCUAUCAGGUAGUUGGUGAGGUAACGGCUCACCAAGCCGAUGACGGGUAGCUGGUCUUAGAGGACGAUCAGCCAGAGGGGGACUGAGACACGGCCCCCACUCCUACGGGAGGCAGCAGCAGGGAAUUUUGGGCAAUGGACGAAAGUCUGACCCAGCGACGUCGCGUGGGGGAUGAAGGCUCUAGGGCUGUAAACCCCUUUUCCGAGGGAAGAGGAAGGACGGUACCUCGGGAAUAAGCUCCGGCUAACUACGUGCCAGCAGCCGCGGUAAUACGUAGGGAGCGAGCGUUACCCGGAAUUACUGGGCGUAAAGAGCACGUAGGCGGUUGGAUAAGUCUUCUGUGAAAGCUCCCGGCUCAACUGGGAGAGGUCAGGGGAUACUAUUUGACUUGAGGGCUGUAGAGGUAAGCGGAAUUCCCGGUGUAGCGGUGAAAUGCGUAGAUAUCGGAAGGAACACCAGUGG